GACGAACGCUGGCGGCGUGCUUAACACAUGCAAGUCGAACGGAAAGGCCCUGCUCUUGUGGGGUGCUCGAGUGGCGAACGGGUGAGUAACACGUGAGUAACCUGCCCUUGACUUUGGGAUAACUUCAGGAAACUGGGGCUAAUACCGGAUAGGAGCUCCUGCUGCAUGGUGGGGGUUGGAAAGUUUCGGCGGUUGGGGAUGGACUCGCGGCUUAUCAGCUUGUUGGUGGGGUAGUGGCUUACCAAGGCUUUGACGGGUAGCCGGCCUGAGAGGGUGACCGGCCACAUUGGGACUGAGAGACGGCCCAGACUCCUACGGGAGGCAGCAGUGGGGAAUAUUGCACAAUGGGCGGAAGCCUGAUGCAGCAACGCCGCGUGCGGGAUGACGGCCUUCGGGGUGUAAACCGCUUUCGCCUGUGACGAAGCGUGAGUGACGGUAAUGGGUAAAGAAGCACCGGCUAACUACGUG
Molecule: ribosomal RNA, 468 nt
Filed under: uncultured bacterium
Lineage: Bacteria
Description: partial 16S ribosomal RNA
Rfam family: Bacterial small subunit ribosomal RNA
Source: RNAcentral